UGUAGCUGAAUGGUAGAGCAUUUGCCUGACAUGCACAAGACCCUGGGUUUAAUCCUCAGCA
RNAcentral lists this transfer RNA (61 nucleotides) under Ictidomys tridecemlineatus (thirteen-lined ground squirrel). Its description in RNAcentral is "Spermophilus tridecemlineatus (thirteen-lined ground squirrel) tRNA". It matches the Rfam family "tRNA", at positions 6 to 65 of the family's 71-position model. From Rfam's summary of the family: Transfer RNA (tRNA) molecules are approximately 80 nucleotides in length. Their secondary structure includes four short double-helical elements and three loops (D, anti-codon, and T loops). The record is from Rfam by way of RNAcentral. Lineage: Eukaryota; Metazoa; Chordata; Mammalia; Rodentia; Sciuridae.